RNAcentral lists this non-coding RNA (27 nucleotides) under Bombyx mori (domestic silkworm). The record is from RNAcentral. Lineage: Eukaryota; Metazoa; Arthropoda; Insecta; Lepidoptera; Bombycidae.
UAGUGGCCAAACGAAUCGUUGUGCAAC